Molecule: ribosomal RNA, 163 nt
Filed under: Pyrus hopeiensis
Lineage: Eukaryota; Viridiplantae; Streptophyta; Magnoliopsida; Rosales; Rosaceae
Description: 5.8S ribosomal RNA
Rfam family: 5.8S ribosomal RNA
About the family: 5.8S ribosomal RNA (5.8S rRNA) is a component of the large subunit of the eukaryotic ribosome.
Source: RNAcentral
AAAACGACUCUCGGCAACGGAUAUCUCGGCUCUCGCAUCGAUGAAGAACGUAGCGAAAUGCGAUACUUGGUGUGAAUUGCAGAAUCCCGUGAACCAUCGAGUCUUUGAACGCAAGUUGCACCCGAAGCCUUUAGGCCGAGGGCACGCCUGCCUGGGCGUCACA